RNAcentral lists this ribosomal RNA (573 nucleotides) under uncultured Pseudomonadota bacterium. Its description in RNAcentral is "bacterial SSU rRNA". It matches the Rfam family "Bacterial small subunit ribosomal RNA", at positions 8 to 522 of the family's 1533-position model. Lineage: Bacteria; Pseudomonadati; Pseudomonadota. The record is from RNAcentral.
AGAGUUUGAUCAUGGCUCAGAGCGAACGCUGGCGGCAGGCCUAACACAUGCAAGUCGAGCGCCCCUCCUUCAAGCGAGCUUGGAGGAUUGCGGAGCGGUCUCCUUGGGCGGGCGAAAGCUCGCUUGACGGACAUCGCUGUGAGAUCAAGCGAGCCUUUAGGGGCUCGCUUGAUGGAGGGGAGCGGCAAACGGGAGAGUAACACGUGGGAACGUACCCUUUGGUUCGGAACAACCCAGGGAAACUUGGGCUAAUACCGAAUAAGCCCUUACGGGGAAAGAUUUAUCGCCGAAGGAUCGGCCCGCGUCUGAUUAGCUAGUUGGUGAGGUAACGGCUCACCAAGGCGACGAUCAGUAGCUGGUCUGAGAGGAUGAUCAGCCUCACUGGGACUGAGACACGGCCCAGACUCCUACGGGAAGCAGCAGUGGGGAAUAUUGGGCAAUGGGCGCAAGCCUGAUCCAGCCAUGCCGCGUGGGUGAUGAAGGCCCUAGGGUUGUAAAGCCCUUUCGGCGGGGAAGAUAAUGACGGUACCCGCAGAAGAAGCCCCGGCUAACUUCGUGCCAGCAGCCGCGGUA